This 486-nucleotide long non-coding RNA is filed under the name Coturnix japonica (Japanese quail). RNAcentral's name for it is "lncRNA (ENSCJPG00005001085.1)". The record is from RNAcentral. Lineage: Eukaryota; Metazoa; Chordata; Aves; Galliformes; Phasianidae.
CAUUAGCUGCAAGUCCAGAAGGGAAUUUACAGAGGAAGGCAAAGCCAGAAGCUGCUCCUGAUGAGCCUGACUUUAAAGGGAAAACCAGAUUCCCCUGUUGGCACGUGUGAAUCCCCCUCCCGCGGUCCUGCUGAAGUUUCCCAGCCAGAAGAGGGACAUGUAACACGACAGCAUUGGCUUGUUCGUAUGAAGUAGUGAUGCGCCCACUGCUGACAAAAGAAGGCAGGGAAAAAAAUCUACAGAUGCCUGGAAAUGUUUUUGUAUCAGUCCCAGUGGCCUGCCAUGGAAGAUAUAUAGCCACUUCUAAGAAUUUGACAACACUUCAGCAACAAUUAUCCAGACAGCUGCCUGUGGCCAUCAGGAAUGGAUGCACAUGGAAGAGUCUGGGCAAACACACAUCUGUAAGUAAGUUUGUGAUUUAAACAAAUCACCCUUGCAUUUGUGUUUGUGCCUCUAAACAGCAGGCUUCCUUUUGUAAUUUUGGCC